Molecule: ribosomal RNA, 274 nt
Filed under: uncultured bacterium
Lineage: Bacteria
Description: partial 16S ribosomal RNA
Rfam family: Bacterial small subunit ribosomal RNA
Source: RNAcentral
AUACAGAGGGUGCGAGCGUUAAUCGGAAUUACUGGGCGUAAAGCGCGCGUAGGCGGCUGAUUAAGUCAGAUGUGAAAUCCCAGGGCUCAACCUUGGAACUGCAUCCGAUACUGGUCAGCUAGAGUUUAGGAGAGGGAAGUAGAAUUUCAGGUGUAGCGGUGAAAUGCAUAGAUAUCUGAAGGAAUACCAGUGGCGAAGGCGGCUUCCUGGCCUAAAACUGACGCUGAGGUGCGAAAGCGUGGGUAGCAAACGGGAUUAGAAACCCCAGUAGUCC